CUUUCCAACUCCCCGCGCCUCUUUGUCUUACAAACUACACCUCUUAUUUUGACGUGUCCUCUUAAUUAGGGUUCUGCUUCAUCUCUUUUUACAAUGAAAUUCAACUAUCGAGUACAGAGAAGAAACCAGACGAACUUCUUGACCCAGUUGAUCAAAGGCUGCACAGAUUUCAGUGAAAACACAAAGAUGUGAUGAUACGUGGUGCACAUCUUUCCCCUUUUCUUAACUUUAAGGUUGAAUCCUGAGGAAAUAUUGGCUGAAGCAGAAUUCCUACAAGCUUUCAUUGUUAUAUUUGGAGUUACAUUCAUCGGCUACAGUGAUCUGGUGAAAUGUGCUUCCAUCUAGGUACAUGGAGAAUGGAAUUCUUAAGGAUCAUCUUAUGGAUCAGACGUUCUGAAUCUGGAUUGGACAUAAGGGCAUGAAAUUUGCAUAGGAUCAACAAAAGUACUUUACUAUCUUCAUACUGGUUUUCAUAAGGCAAUUAUCCACUGAUAUGUCAAGUCGUUGAACAUACUUCUUGACGAAAAUCUCUGGGCUAAAGUUUCGGAUUUUGAAUUAUAAAAAAUUGGUCCGGAAAUUGAUGAAACACAUGUUAGUAUUGCAGUGAAAGAAAGUUUCAGAUAUCUUUAUCAGGAGUAUUUGACAAGGCAACAAAAUGUAUAUAUAUAUAUAUAUAUAGACUGGGAAUAGCACAGGCUGAGUUGGCACCUCUCUAAGGCCUGGAUUCCUAUUUAUCUUUUUUGUGGUUUUUUUUGCAUUUUCCCUUAAAUAUUUCAUUCUCCUUAAUACACACCAAAGGUCAACAGUCACGACUAAUUAAAGCCACUAACAGUCAUUUCAGUCCCCUAAUCCAUCAAUUGGAAAACCCAAAGACCUCUUUAACUUGCCUGCAUUUCCAACACAACGACGAAGAAGAAAUCAAUGGUUCUGCAAAAGUUCUUUCCAUUCUCUCUCGGUCGAAGCCGCUGCAAGAGUUUUCUCUCCACUGAUACGCAAAUAGUGUCAUCCCCGUGUCCUAAUCUAAUAGAAAGAAAGUUUUUCUCUUUAACCUUCUUGGUUCAUCUUCUUUGAAUAGUUAUAUACUCCAUUGGUUGCGCCAAAUAAGUGACUAAUUUAGAUUCACUUAGUUGAUCUUGAAUUUGGUAACUUCUACUUUUAAUUCGAUCAAGAACUAACAAGUGUAUUACUUAGAAUUCCUGGAAUCUGAUAUUCUCACUUUGUGUUUCUCUUUUUUGACUUUGAAAAGUGGUUAAUUUAUGGGAAUAAUUGCAGGUAUCAUAGACAUCUUUGUAAUUUCGUUGCAAGUUUUUACACUUGAAGAUUGGAGUUUACUUCCUCGGUCCGGUUGUUAUAUUAUUAGCUUUUAAAUUGCAUUCAUAUGAUCCAAUGCAAGGUUGUGCAAAUAAUUUCUUGUUUUUUAAGUUUUUUAUCCUUCUUUCUUCUCUUUUCUCUUUGCAUAGUGUCAGUUUGUAUUUUUGUAUUGUUUAAUGUUCUUAUUUCAUUUUCUUGGCAGAAAGUUGAAAUAAAAUAUAAUGAAAUGUUAACUGAACUUAGAAUUGGAUCUGCGCGAGAACCCAGUAUAUGAUUUGGGAGUUAGAGUUCAAACUCCCAAAAAUAUGAGGAAAACGAUGUUUACGGGCAAUUAUUACACAACUUAAUAAUUCAAGGUUUAUUGGUAGAACCUUUCAACUUCUUAAUAUUAUUCAGCCUAUUUGAACUAUUUUAGGGAAAUUAUUGUUUGCUGGGCAGCUUGGGCUAUUAUUUUCAUUCAUUUAUAGUAUGAGAAAAUAAAAGUAGGAGUUACAGUGAUCCACAUAAAUACAUAGAUGAAUAUGGUCCUUUUUAAUUCAGUAAUGCCUUUGUACUUUAGCCUGUAUAUGCACAUUUAUGUGGCUCACUGAUAAAUUAUGAGUUCACUUUUUCUCCCCUGUGUCAAGUUUAGAUAUUCUUUAAGAUUUGGUUAGCAUGAUCUGAUGCUCCUUUCUCAAAAUAUCCUCCAAUUCAAUGAAGGUACAUUAAUUAGGAUAGCUACAACCACAUUUUUGUUUCUGGUGGAGCCACUUUAAAGUUUAAUCAUACUUACAUUACAUAUUUUAUAUUUCUCAGCUGUUGCUAAUGAUAUUGCAAGAUGCAACUCCCAACCUUGAUUACGAUAGACUAUGAGAGGAACAAAGCAUUCUCUAAGGCACUUUUUAAAUACUUGACUCUUGACUGAUAAUGUUGUUGACGUUAGUGUUUCCAUUACUUUUACUCCUUGCUUCAAUUUUGUUGCUUGUGGAAAUCCUAGCAUUUAUCAGAGAGUUUAAUUAAGUAUUCAACUGCUAUUCGACGGUUCAUCUAAUAGAAAAAUUUUCCAUUUGAUAUGUGUUACUUUCUGAUGUUUUUUGUCGAAUACUUCAGCAAAAGAAGGCAUAGGAUGACUACAAUGUUAUGAGAUGCGGUUAAACAGAGGUUAUUUUCAUACUUCUUAAAUUUCUUUGCAUUGUGCUUAUGGAGUUGUAAUAGAACAUCAGAACGAUCACCUCCAAGAAGUAAAUUGCCAAAUUUACAGCUACCGAUGAAGUUUCAUGGCCAUGUGAAGAGCAAAAUUAGUAGCUAAUCAAGAAUUUUGAUUUUUUCAUAACCCUUCCAAGUAGUAAGUCGCUUUAUUUCCUUUCAUUCCUACAGAAUGCAUCUGCUGACUAUUGUUUGCUAUCCAG
Molecule: long non-coding RNA, 2699 nt
Organism: Lycium barbarum (goji berry)
Lineage: Eukaryota; Viridiplantae; Streptophyta; Magnoliopsida; Solanales; Solanaceae
Exons: 4
Source: RefSeq, a predicted model, not a curated record